This 2419-nucleotide long non-coding RNA is filed under the name Equus caballus (horse). RNAcentral describes it as "lncRNA (ENSECAG00000058322.1)". The record is from RNAcentral. Lineage: Eukaryota; Metazoa; Chordata; Mammalia; Perissodactyla; Equidae.
GGCCAAUCUUCCUCACCAAGAAAAAGAAAAUUCCAGCUCUGAAGAAAGCCAUCUUGAUCCAGGUAUUGCUAAACAAUUUGGGGCUUAUUAUUCUCUUUAGAAGGUUCAUUUAAUCUGAAACUAUACAUCAGAGGCCUCAGACUGACAGCCUGAAUCAGCCCACAAGAAUGUUUUAUUUGGCCUAAACAGCACUCAAACAGAAUCUCACGUCACAAUUUAAAAAUCAGAGAUUUUUUAUGUAGCAACACAGAUUUCCUAAUCUGAAGAACUCACAACACAGCCUUGUUCCCUUGAGGCAACAGUCAGUUGCAGACCCUUCAGAAGGCGCAAGAGCUGUGCUCUCCCAUUUGCUUCAGUCCUGGCGUGGCCCAGCCUGCUUCCCUUUUCUUAUGAUCGCUUCCAUUCCACCCUGACCCUGUAGACAUUUGAUUUCUUGAUUUUUUGGGACUGUGGCCUCAAAAGCCAGACUGCUCCCAGGGGGACUACUGGUCAUCAAGGCAGGAUUGAGCUGCAUGUUAUUUGUCAUAAAAGAACCUGGGUCAGGUGGAACAUGUUUGAGCUCAGAAGAGAGAAGAAUUUGUAGCCAGAGUGUACACCAGUGACAUACAUUAAAAUAGAAUUGAAAUGAUGUAAAUGUCCUUCAUUCGUUCAUUCAUUCCUUAAUCCAUUUGUUCACAGAAUAUUUAUGGACUGACUGGAUCUGGGUCACCAUGGUCUCCCUCCAAGACUUGAUGCAUAAUAAGGAUAACAAAAUAAAUGUUCCACAGAACAAUACAGAUAUUGAGACAAUGGGACAGGCUUGUGGCUUUUAGAGGGGAUGUGCUGCUGGCUCGUGGAGUGCCACCCGAAGGGCUGACAAUUCUGCGAGAGGAAUAAACUCAACUUGGUCGUGAUACAUUAUCCUUUUGAAAGGCAGAUAGACCACAGGCAGAUCAUCUUGAUCCAUUGGACUUGGAUGUUGGACUCAAUGUGAGGGCUGCUUCGAGCCACAUGAGGGAAGUGCCAAGAGAAUCACUUGCAAGGAGAGGAUGUGCCUGUAAGAAGAGGUCCUGUGACGCUGAGAAGCAAAAUGUCCUGUUCAAGCUAACUUGGUAAUCCUUAGAAGCAGCCCCAAGGAAGAAGAUUGCCACACUCUGCUUGAUCUAAUGGGCCACAACAGCUCCCAAAUUGAAGAAAUGAGGAUUGGCAUGUCAAGGAAGAGAGACAGCUGAGAGAGAAGAUGGUGGCCUGUGACUAAGAAAUACUAACCUCUGGAACUAUGUGACUCUCGGAUAUCGAUUCCGUUCUGCUGCAGGCUCCAGGCUCUGGGACCACUUCUGAUCUUAGACUUGGAGGGCUUUAGGGUCUGAUUUUGGGGCUCAGCACUAAGUCAAUCUUGCUACCCAUUCAGCCAUGACGUUGUAGUCCACUCUGCAUAAAGGUGCUUCUCCCUUGUGCAGAAGAUUCAAUCUCCACAUUGUAUCCUAAUCAUGGUAGCUGGGUCCUUGUCUUGCUCCUUGUGUUUCUCAAUCUGUCUUGUCCUUUUUGAACUGAAGUCUUUCAUUGCCUUACCCAAAGUCAAGAGGUUUCUAGCCAAGAGGUUUCUAGCCUUCAUAUAACUUAACUCCUGUUGGACUCGAUAUUGCCUGUUUCUAGAUUCUUCAUGUCAUCCUUUGAAUGGAUGUUGGGACACCCUCUGCUCCUUUGAGUUGUCCCUCGUUUCCCUCCCCCUGCUUCAUACCAACUAAUAGCCUAGAAAAACAGAUGUUUAUUGUUAAGUAUUUUCCAAACUGCGUCUCCAAUAUCUAGUGGAGUGCCUGGACCAUAGUAGGCAUUCAAUAAAUAUAUAGAGAAUGAAUGAAUUCAUUCUACCUGCCAGCCAGGACUCCUUUCCAGUAUUUGCUGGCAAAGUCCAUUUUCCCAGAAACUGCCGGUCUCAGAGGUUUCUAGAUCUCAGCUCACCCCAGUUUGCCCAGGCUGCCUUGCCUUACCUUGAACUGGGACACAACACCAAAAUAUUAUGCAUCUUUGUAUCAUCAGCAAGGUGUGUCUUCAAUGCCUCAUUCUUCUUUGCAGGUUUUUGAAAAUGUUGGCCUGUUCUAGCUUAUUUUCUCUUUCCUUUGCCUCCUGGUUGUCUCUCAGAAACUUUAGGAAAAAUUUUAUUUGAUGAAAUUAAUUCAUACCAAAGUGCCAAUCACUAACAAUUCAGGGAAGUUAGCCAGUAAACUUCAAGGUAUAGCCCUGGGUUGUAGUUAGUGAAGCCAAGAGGAAGUUCCACCUUAGAUAGAGCGGGAAUGUUUCUAGAAACUGGAGAUAUUUAGCUUGGAGAUCAUCUUGGGAAGGUCAUGGCAGCUAUUUCAAAUAUACAUAUAUGUCUGAUGUGUAAAAGUCAGAAUACAUCUAUAUUGUGCAAAUAAGCAUUGGUGAUGAUCUGCCCUAA